Molecule: long non-coding RNA, 464 nt
Organism: Oncorhynchus gorbuscha (pink salmon)
Lineage: Eukaryota; Metazoa; Chordata; Actinopteri; Salmoniformes; Salmonidae
Exons: 3
Source: RefSeq, a predicted model, not a curated record
CAGAGGAAUACAGGACAGGCGCCUCUCUGCCUCCAGCAGGAAGCCUCAUCGUACAUGACAAAGACUGCUCUGAGCUGUAUGACAGACAGAGGCCAGACUCCGGGUUUUACCGGAUCAGACCUAGAGUGGAUCAGGAGCCGGUCCUAGUCUUCUGUGACAUGGAAGAUGGAGGGGGAUGGACUGUUAUACAGCGACGAAGACAUGGCAGGGUUGACUUCAACAGAGACUGGGUGGACUACAGAGACGGGUUUGGAGACUUUAAGCUGUGGAACGAUGAAUUCUGGCUGGGCAACGAACACAUCCAUUCUCUGGUGAAGGAAGGUAGGCUGUCAACCCUAACACAAUGAGAGGCUUGAUACAUACAGCCCCAGAACACAUUCACUCUCUGGUUUUAGGGCGGCAGAUAGCCUAACGGUUAAGGGCCAGUAAGAGCCGGUAAGGGCCAUUAAAAGCCAGUAAGGACC